Molecule: ribosomal RNA, 195 nt
Filed under: Triticum aestivum (bread wheat)
Lineage: Eukaryota; Viridiplantae; Streptophyta; Magnoliopsida; Poales; Poaceae
Description: partial small subunit ribosomal RNA
Source: RNAcentral
AUGAUCCUCCUCAGCCUGUUCCUGCAAGUCUUCCUCUUUCUCUUUGCGGGAAAACGGAUGGUUAGUAACUGGGGCCCGGUGCGCCUGGUCCUGUGGCUUGCCUACUUAUCAGCCGACUCAGUGGCCACCUUCGUGCUGGGCCACCUCGCGGUCCGCGCGGUCGAGCCGAGCGACCAGGGGCUCAUGUCCUUCUAG